UACGGAGGGUGCAAGCGUUAUCCGGAUUUAUUGGGCGUAAAGGGUUCGCAGGCUUUCCGUUAAGUUUUUGUUCAAAGCCCGAGGCUCAACCUCGGAGAGGGCAAAAAUACUGGCGGAAUUGAAGAAUAUUGGGGUUACUGGAACUUAUCGUGUAGGAGUGAAAUCCGUUGAUAUGAUAAGGAACACCAAGGGCGAAGGCAGGUAACUAGGUAUUUCUUGACGCUCAGGAACGAAAGCUAGGGUAGCGAAAGGG
This 253-nucleotide unclassified non-coding RNA is filed under the name uncultured Patescibacteria group bacterium. RNAcentral's name for it is "contains 16S-23S intergenic spacer region". It matches the Rfam family "Bacterial small subunit ribosomal RNA", at positions 524 to 776 of the family's 1533-position model. The record is from RNAcentral.